GUCUUCUUGAUUAUAAUUUGAAGUCUGACCUGCUCUAUGAUUUUUAAAUGGCCGCAGUAUUUUGACUGUGCUAAGGUAGCAUAAUAAUUAGUUUCUUAAUUAGAAGCUUGUAUGAAUGGUUUGAUGAGAAAACUUCUUUCUUAUUUUUAAUUUUCUUGAAUUUUAUUUUUAAGUAAAAAAGCUUAAAUUUUUUUAGGGGACGAGAAGACCCUUUAGAAUUUUAUAUAAUUUUAAAUUAAUUUUUUUUUAGUAUUUAUUUAUUGAUUUAAUUUUUUAUUUAGUUGGGGUGACUGAAAAAUUUAAUUAACUUUUUUUAUUUAUUUACAUUAUAAAAGGUUUAUUGAUCCGUAAAGCGAUUAUAAGAAAAAAUUACCUAAGGGAUAACAGCGUUAUAAUUUUUUAGAGCUCUAAUCGAAAAAAUUGAUUGCGA
Molecule: ribosomal RNA, 430 nt
Filed under: Cassida denticollis
Lineage: Eukaryota; Metazoa; Arthropoda; Insecta; Coleoptera; Chrysomelidae
Description: partial 16S large subunit ribosomal RNA
Source: RNAcentral